GUCCACGCCCUAAACGAUGUCAACUAGUUGUAGGGGAAGCAAUUCCUUGGUAACGCAGCUAACGCGUGAAGUUGACCGCCUGGGGAGUACGGUCGCAAGAUUAAAACUCAAAGGAAUUGACGGGGACCCGCACAAGCGGUGGAUGAUGUGGAUUAAUUCGAUGCAACGCGAAAACCUUACCUACCCUUGACAUGUCCAGAACCCUGCUGAAAGGUGGGGGUGCCCGAAAGGGAAUUGGAACACAGGUGCUGCAUGGCUGUCGU
This 263-nucleotide ribosomal RNA is filed under the name uncultured bacterium. RNAcentral's name for it is "partial 16S ribosomal RNA". It matches the Rfam family "Bacterial small subunit ribosomal RNA", at positions 793 to 1055 of the family's 1533-position model. The record is from RNAcentral.